UACGUAGGGUGCAAGCGUUAAUCGGAAUUACUGGGCGUAAAGCGUGCGCAGGCGGCUUUGCAAGACAGAUGUGAAAUCCCCGGGCUUAACCUGGGAACUGCAUUUGUGACUGCAUAGCUAGAGUACGGUAGAGGGGGAUGGAAUUCCGCGUGUAGCAGUGAAAUGCGUAGAUAUGCGGAGGAACACCGAUGGCGAAGGCAAUCCCCUGGACCUGUACUGACGCUCAUGCACGAAAGGCGUGGG
This 243-nucleotide ribosomal RNA is filed under the name uncultured bacterium. RNAcentral describes it as "partial 16S ribosomal RNA". It matches the Rfam family "Bacterial small subunit ribosomal RNA", at positions 524 to 766 of the family's 1533-position model. The record is from RNAcentral.